UACGUAGGGUGCAAGCGUUGUCCGGAAUUAUUGGGCGUAAAGAGCUCGUAGGCGGUCUGUCGCGUCGGAUGUGAAAACCCAGGGCUCAACCCUGGGCCUGCAUUCGAUACGGGCAGACUAGAGUUCGGUAGGGGAGACUGGAAUUCCUGGUGUAGCGGUGAAAUGCGCAGAUAUCAGGAGGAACACCGAUGGCGAAGGCAGGUCACUGGGCCGCAACUGACGCUGAGGAGCGAAAGCAUGGGGAGCGAACAGG
RNAcentral lists this ribosomal RNA (253 nucleotides) under uncultured bacterium. RNAcentral's name for it is "partial 16S ribosomal RNA". It matches the Rfam family "Bacterial small subunit ribosomal RNA", at positions 524 to 776 of the family's 1533-position model. The record is from RNAcentral.